RNAcentral lists this unclassified non-coding RNA (355 nucleotides) under uncultured Calvatia. RNAcentral's name for it is "sequence contains ITS1". The stretch from base 1 to 105 matches the Rfam family "5.8S ribosomal RNA", at positions 50 to 154 of the family's 154-position model. The record is from RNAcentral. Lineage: Eukaryota; Fungi; Basidiomycota; Agaricomycetes; Agaricales; Lycoperdaceae.
GAAAUGCGAUAAGUAAUGUGAAUUGCAGAAUUCAGUGAAUCAUCGAAUCUUUGAACGCACCUUGCGCUCCUUGGUAUUCCGAGGAGCAUGCCUGUUUGAGUGUCAUUAAAUUCUCAACCCUUCCAGCUUUUGUGAGCUGCGAUAGGGCUUGGAUAUUGGGAGGUUGCGGGCCUAUAUAAGGUCGGCUCUCCUGAAAUGCAUUAGCGGAACCGUUUGCAGUCCCGUCACUAGUGUGAUAAUUAUCUACACUGUGAUGACUGCUCUCUAGUUUGUUCAGCUGCUAAUUGUCCACUACCGGACAACUCUUAAUGAACCUCUUGACCUCAAAUCAGGUAGGACUACCCGCUGAACUUAA